RNAcentral lists this ribosomal RNA (464 nucleotides) under uncultured bacterium. RNAcentral's name for it is "partial 16S ribosomal RNA". It matches the Rfam family "Bacterial small subunit ribosomal RNA", at positions 339 to 795 of the family's 1533-position model. The record is from RNAcentral.
CUACGGGACGCUGCAGUAGGGAAUUUUCGGCAAUGGGCGCAAGCCUGACCGAGCAAUGCCGCGUGAAUGAUGAAGGUCUUCGGAUCGUAAAGUCCUGUUGUUAAGGAAGAACAAUUAGUCCAGGAAAUGGGAUUAAUCUGACGGUACUUAACCAGAAAGCUCCGGCUAACUACGUGCCAGCAGCCGCGGUAAUACGUAGGGAGCGAGCGUUAUCCGGAAUUAUUGGGCGUAAAGCGUGCGUAGGCGUUUUGUUAAGUCAAAUGUGAAAGCCCCCAGCUUAACUGGGGAGAGUCAUUUGAAACUGGCAGAAUUGAGUACGGCAGAGGUUAGUGGAAUUCAAUGUGUAGCGGUGGAAUGCGUAGAUAUAUUGAGGAACACCAGUGGCGAAGGCGGCUAACUGGACCGGAACUGACGCUGAUGCACGAAAGCGUGGGGAGCAAACAGGAUUAGAUACCCUCGUAGUC